GCUCACGCCUUGCCCUGUGGAAUGUUUGCUCCACAGUUUUCUCUGUAUUUUGUUGCUGGCCUCAGAUAGAUUUACUCACAUAAGAUAACCAUUGACCUUAUCUAAUAAAAGGAAUUAGGAUCCAAGGAAUCUAUUUAACUCAUUAUUAAAGAUCAUUUCCUGUUAUUAUCUCCCCUGUAGUAAAAUUAGCUGUUAACUCUCGUGUUAGCACAACCCAUCCAGUAUUACUAGGAAAUGAGGGGAAAAUCAGUUCAGUGAUAUGUGGGUUGAGCCCAGGGAAUUCCCUAUCCUUGGUGCAUAUUAACAUUAUGCCUUAGAAGUUAAGGGAAUGUUCUGUUAAGUGGAAAAAGAGUUGCAGAAAUUUUACUUUCAAAAGUCAAGUUAAAAGUUCCUUUUUUCCCAAGUCAAAUUAAUUUUUGUCUCAGGGCAAGAAAAAGUAAAUUAAAAACCACAGACUGCCUCCUCCUCACAGGCCCCAUCUUCUCCUGGGUUUCUAUCCCUCUUGGCUGCAGUUUCAGGUUUCACUGGCCCAGUUUGGACCUCAGAGAAUUCCCAGCCUCAUCAGGUUCUGCUCCGGGGAGCCUCUGACUAUGGCAAGGAAGCAGCGAACAAGAAACCUCUGGACACUUUCUCUUUAAUGAAACACAAUUUGAUUACACAUCAUCACCAUUCCCCAGCAGACAGCCUUUUCUGGAGGGCUUCAGCCUGCUGUAGUCAUGCCUGCAGGAUUUCUGCAUUUCAGUGGAGCCCAGUGGGAGCUUCUGAAGUUUUCUACCAGCGGAUGGCUCCCAGCACCUAGACAGCCUAUGUAUUAAUGUCAGGUAGACAAACCCUCCCUUGUGCUUUUAUGGGUAAUAGUUCUCUGUAGUCCCCCUGAAUACAGGGAUCCAGAAAGCUAUUCAGGUUCAUCAAAGAAUCUUGAGUUCACAUGUAGGAAUUAUUUUUGAAGCUGGUGUGGUGGUACAUUCCUAUAAUAAUAGCACUGGGGAGGUGGAGACAGAAGGAUCGGGAGUUCAAGGUCAGCUUUGACUGAGGUUACAAAAGAUUCGGUCUGACACAAAAAGAAUUAUUUUAUUUUUUGUUACAACUGCCAAUAUAUACCAUCAUGGCCUGUCUAAUCCAUCAGACUAGAUAUGGAUCUGAGAUCACAGAUUCAGUCUAAGAUCAAGGCUCAGAGCCAAAGAAGCCACAUUGUGAGAACAUUUGUUUCUGUGGAUGUCAGUCUUGGCAUUGAAUGUGUAAGGUGACGUGAGCAAUGGUGGCCUUCCUCCUAAACAUUUGGAUUAAAGAGUACAACAGA
Molecule: long non-coding RNA, 1300 nt
Organism: Mesocricetus auratus (golden hamster)
Lineage: Eukaryota; Metazoa; Chordata; Mammalia; Rodentia; Cricetidae
Exons: 2
Source: RefSeq, a predicted model, not a curated record